RNAcentral lists this ribosomal RNA (253 nucleotides) under uncultured bacterium. RNAcentral describes it as "partial 16S ribosomal RNA". It matches the Rfam family "Bacterial small subunit ribosomal RNA", at positions 524 to 776 of the family's 1533-position model. The record is from RNAcentral.
UACGUAGGGGGCAAGCGUUGUCCGGAAUUAUUGGGCGUAAAGAGCUCGUAGGCGGUCUGUCGCGUCUGCUGUGAAAACUCGGGGCUUAACCCCGGGCCUGCAGUGGGUACGGGCAGACUAGAGUGCGGUAGGGGAGACUGGAAUUCCUGGUGUAGCGGUGAAAUGCGCAGAUAUCAGGAGGAACACCGGUGGCGAAGGCGGGUCUCUGGGCCGUAACUGACGCUGAGGAGCGAAAGCGUGGGGAGCAAACAGG